UAAAUCAAAAGCCCCCUUUUACAGUUGACCUGAGAGUGUUCUUCCAUCACUAAAAAUGGCGUCUGCUUCAUUCAGCGAUCUCUGCUCUAUUCUUAAUUCUCCUUCCUCAUGGCGCAAAAUAGGCAAUGUUCACAAGCACCGGCCCUUCAUUUCUGUUUCAAUUUCUCCCAAAAAAGCAAUCCAAUUCGUCCCUUCUUCCUUAUCAUCGAUCCAACCUGAAAACCCAGGGGAGUUUUCAGCUUUUGUCGACUUUCCAGCAACUACCCAUUUUUUUCAUGGCAUAAAUUACAAUAAGUUGGUAGUGGGUGGUAAGAGUAAUUUGUUAAUGGGCAGCUCUUGAAAGUCCACUCUUUGGUGGAGUUGGGAUUGAGAGGAAAUUGAAAGAUCGUUCGGCGUUCGCACAAACUGAAGCUGUUCGACAGUUGACUGGUUCCCUUACAUCUGCUGCCGGGUUUCGCUUUGCUGUUGUAUGUCCUGCAAGACAAUCUCCCUCUUUCUCUAUAUCUCUAGUGUAUAACCCAUACAAAUUUGUGGGAAUUUUUACUUGGAAUUUAGAGCACUAAUUUUCAUCUGAGCUGCAUUGUUUGUGCUUGCAAUUGAUCUGGGUUGCAAUUAUGUAAUGCUUUAAUUUGUUGUUUCAUUGGUGGAUGUCAGCCGAUGAUAGUAAGUGAUGCCAUAUUAUUUGAGAAAAUCUCGCAAUUUCCCACUCCCCU
RNAcentral lists this long non-coding RNA (713 nucleotides) under Panax ginseng (ginseng). RNAcentral's name for it is "long non-coding RNA (PGIN_LNC018542)". The record is from RNAcentral. Lineage: Eukaryota; Viridiplantae; Streptophyta; Magnoliopsida; Apiales; Araliaceae.